This 497-nucleotide ribosomal RNA is filed under the name uncultured bacterium. RNAcentral's name for it is "partial 16S ribosomal RNA". It matches the Rfam family "Bacterial small subunit ribosomal RNA", at positions 28 to 507 of the family's 1533-position model. The record is from RNAcentral.
GAUGAACGCUGGCGGCGUGCCUAAUACAUGCAAGUCGAGCGAAGGGACGAGAAUCUUGCUUGUCUGAUGUGAGCGGCGGACGGGAGAAUAACACGUGUAUAACCUACCUAUAAGAGUGGUAUAACUUCGGGAAACCUGAGCUAAUACCGGAUAAUAUUUUGUACCCCAUGGUUCAAAAGUAAAAGACGUUCUUGCUGUCACUUAUGGAUGCAUCCGCGCUGCAUUAGCUAGUGGUUAAGGUAACGGCCUACCAAGGCAACAAUGCGUAGCCAACCUGAGAGGGUGAUCGGCCACACUGGAACUGAGACACGGUCCGACCUCCUAGGGGAAGCAGCAGGAGGGAAUGGUGCGCAAAGGGCGAAAGCCUGACAGAGCAACGCCGCGUGAGUGAUGAAGGUGUUCGGAUCGUAGAGCUCUGUUAUUAGGGAAGACAAUAUUUAUAAGCAACUGUGAACAUCUUGAGGGUACCUAAUCAGAAAGCCCCGGCUAACUACGUG